CAGCAGCCGCGGGAAUACGUAGGUGGCGAGCGUUGUCCGGAAUUAUUGGGCGUAAAGGGCUCGCAGGCGGUUUCUUAAGUCUGAUGUGAAAGCCCCCGGCUCAACCGGGAGGGUCAUUGGAAACUGGGAAACUUGAGUGCAGAAGAGGAGAGUGGAAUUCCACGUGUAGCGGUGAAAUGCGUAGAGGUGUGGAGGAACACCAGUGGCGAAGGCGACUCUCUGGUCUGUAACUGACGCUGAGGAGCGAAAGCGUGGGGAGCGAACAGGAUUAGAUACCCCAGUAGUCCCUGUCUCUUAUACA
This 301-nucleotide ribosomal RNA is filed under the name uncultured bacterium. RNAcentral's name for it is "partial 16S ribosomal RNA". It matches the Rfam family "Bacterial small subunit ribosomal RNA", at positions 509 to 808 of the family's 1533-position model. The record is from RNAcentral.